This 454-nucleotide ribosomal RNA is filed under the name uncultured soil bacterium. RNAcentral describes it as "bacterial SSU rRNA". It matches the Rfam family "Bacterial small subunit ribosomal RNA", at positions 26 to 501 of the family's 1533-position model. The record is from RNAcentral.
AGGACGAACGCUGGCGGCGUGCUUAACACAUGCAAGUCGAGCGGUAAGGCCUUUCGGGGUACACGAGCGGCGAACGGGUGAGUAACACGUGGGUGAUCUGCCCUGCACUCUGGGAUAAGCCUGGGAAACUGGGUCUAAUACCGGAUAUGACCUGCUCUCGCAUGGGGGUGGGUGGAAAGAUUUAUCGGUGCAGGAUGGGCCCGCGGCCUAUCAGCUUGUUGGUGGGUAAUGGCCUACCAAGGCGACGACGGGUAGCCGACCUGAGAGGGUGACCGGCCACGACUGGGACUGAGACACGGCCCAGACUCCUACGGGAGGCAGCAGUGGGAAUAUGCACAAUGGGCGAAAGCCUGAUGCAGCGACGCCGCGUGAGGAUGAAGGCCUUCGGUUGUAAACCUCUUUCAGCGAGGACGAAGCGCAAGUGACGGUACUGCAGAAGAAGACACCGGCUAAC